RNAcentral lists this ribosomal RNA (497 nucleotides) under uncultured bacterium. Its description in RNAcentral is "partial 16S ribosomal RNA". It matches the Rfam family "Bacterial small subunit ribosomal RNA", at positions 28 to 507 of the family's 1533-position model. The record is from RNAcentral.
GAUGAACGCUGGCGGCGUGCCUAAUACAUGCAAGUCGAGCGAACGGACGAGAAGCUUGCUUCUCUGAUGUUAGCGGCGGACGGGUGAGUAACACGUGGAUAACCUACCUAUAAGACUGGGAUAACUUCGGGAAACCGGAGCUAAUACCGGAUAAUAUUUUGAACCGCAUGGUUCAAAAGUGAAAGACGGUCUUGCUGUCACUUAUAGAUGGAUCCGCGCUGCAUUAGCUAGUUGGUAAGGUAACGGCUUACCAAGGCAACGAUGCAUAGCCGACCUGAGAGGGUGAUCGCCCACACUGGAACGGAGACACGGUCCAGACUCCUACGGGAGGCAGCAGUGGGGAAUCUUCCGCAAUGGGCGAAAGCCUGACGGAGCAACCCCGCGUGAGUGAUGAAGGUCUUCGGAUCGUAAAACUCUGUUAUUAGGGAAGAACAUAUGUGUAAGUAACUGUGCACAUCUUGACGGUACCUAAUCAGAAAGCCACGGCUAACUACGUG